UAAUUUUUUCGAUCAACAGUAUUCCCACUUAUCCUCCAACGUGACUUGUAUCGAUUGAUGGUAGUGGAUGUGCUAAACCACUUGAGCUACUAAAAAUCAAGUUUCAAGAAUCCCCCUUUUUCUUUUAGGUAAUUUUUGAAACAAAGUAAAUUUAAUUUCAUCUACUGGUUUUUGUUACUUUCCUAGUUUAAUUCUUAGUGCUAUUAGUUUUUUAUUUUGGUGUUUAGUAUGCCUAUUUUAAUUGUGAGAAACAUUUUAGUUAGGGAGGAAUUGGUUAUUAGCUUUACACUCUGGAUUGAAUUGUGAUAUGACAUGUUAAUGACUUUUUGUGUUAAGUGUGAUCUCCUUUCAAGAAAAUUGGAUAAGUUCUGUAUAGAGACCAAUUCAUGCAAUAUGCAUUUGACUAAUAUGUGUAUAGUCGUAUAUAAUCAGUAUAUAAUUUGUGUAUAUUAAACUUAAAAAUAGGUAGUUUUUCUCAUUAGAGUUUAAUUUCUAUAUGCUAACAACUAGUGCUUGGAUAAGCUCUGUAGAGACCAAUUCAUGCAACAUGCACUUGAUUAAUAUGUAUAUAAUUAGCGUAUAAUUUAUGUAUAUUAACUUGAAAAAAUAAGUGGUUUUUUUUUGUGUUAGAGUAAAGUUGUUUAUAAUAAGUGGGAUUAGUAAGUUGAUAAUAAAAUAUAUAAUUUAUUACUCCUAUAUAACUUUUUUUUUUACCAUCAACAUAGGUUAAAUUAAAUUAUUUUGGUAUAUUGCAAGUAUUGUCACAUUUUUUGCGGAAGAGAUAGGAUGCUAGUCUCUCAUCUCCUCAUCCUAAAUAUAGUAGUUGUGUAGUUUCUUAUUCUUUCAUGUGUACUGUUAUCUCAAAUUCUCAAUGUCUUACUAUUUUAUUAUUGUAUUUUCUUGCAUUUGUAUUUUGAUAACUUUUCUCUUGAAUCGAGGAUAUAUUAGAAAUAAUCUUUUUAUUUCAUAAAGGUAUGAAUAAGAUUUGUGUAUAUUUACCUUUUCAAACUCUUCAAAGAUGGGAAUAAGGUUACUGUAUGUCUUAUUUUUUAUAAAUUCAUUAUAUAAUUACACUGAAUAUAUUGUUCUGACAAGUAUUUUGCACUCUAAUUUACUUAUUUAGGUGAUUCUUAUUCUAAAGAGGGUGUUUAAACAAGAAGUUUCUUUUUAUUUGCUUUUGCUAAAGAGGAAAUUUGAGGUGAUAAUUGAUAUAAUAUUGUCAAAAAGUUUGUCCUUUUCAUGAUUUUGGUAGACGUGAGGUAUUUUUCUUCUCUGUAAUCUUUUGCAGUGAUAAAAUUAUUUCAUCAUUUAUUGGGUCUUCUGAAUGGACCAACCAACUUUUGUUUUUGACUUCAAAAUAUUUAUAUUCACACAAUAAAUAGGAAAGAUUUGUUUUAUAUACUGUAUGUAUAUAUUAUUUAACGAUCGAUGAUGAAUGACGUGUAUUCUCACUUUAAUUUGUAAUUUUCACACUUAGAAGAAACUUAUAAUUUUGUUAUGGAGUACUAUGUAAGUAAAAAAAAAACCCGAAGGGUACGUAGUUAAAUUAUAGAUAGAGGUGGAGCUAGCUUAUAUGUUAUAGAAUUUAGAUGAAUUCAAUAAUUUUAUUCGGAUUUUGUAUAUUCAAAACUCCAUGAAGAUGCAAACGAGAAAUUAUAUUACCAGUAUAAAAAUUUUAUUUGUUCAAAUGAUAAUUAGGUUCAAGAUUAAUUUAAUCUAUACUAUAUAUUAAUUCCAUCAAUAUUAUAUUGAGUAGAUCGGAAUAAGAUGCAUUUCCUUAUUCUUUUUAUCAGUUUGAUGAAUUUGGCGUUUUCUUUAGUCUUAUAGGUGUAAGCUCGAUUGAAAAUAAAAAUUCACUUACACGAAAUUUAAUCUCUAAUUUUUUAUACUAUUGAAAUUAACAAGAAAAAAGGUCUCUAUUGUCGUAAAAUAAAAACAUUUGCAUAUAAAAAACAAAUAGUUUCUCACCUAAAAUAAUCCUUAAUUGACUAGCGAGCUUCGCUCAACGGAUAAUAUAAGAUAAAAUGGCUAGAGCUCCUCUCCUAAUAUUUAAAUGACAUUCGCUUCUUUAAAAAUAUAUUAAGAAAUUUGUGAAAUAUCAAUAAAUAUUUGAUUAUGAACUCAUACUUAUUGUCAUCUAUAACUCAAGGUUAACGUAGAAAUUAAUAAACUUCAAAUUCUUAAUCUAUCUAUAAUUAAAAAAAAAUGAUUAUAAUGCAUAACAUAUGCUGUUUCUUACGUUCUCAAUUAUUGUCGAAAAUAUUUGUUUUUUUCUAAUGAGAAAGCGUUUCAAUUUCCAGCAAAGACUGAGUAGAAUAUUAGUAUUACUUUUGCAUAUUAAACAAAAACAAAUAUAUUUAGCUAAAUUUGGUAACACAGCUUUAUAUAUUUUUGAAUGGGUGCUGAUUUCUCUCUUUUAUGUAUGUGAUCUUCAAGUAAUAUCUCCAAAUGUGCAUUGACAUGCUCCAUCUAUUCUUGUAUUAAUUGAAUUUGUGAGGCAAUAUAUUACUAAAAAAAUACAUUUAAGUACAUAAUUUGAAUUAUACUUUUCACUAUUGUCCUUUGUGAAAUCAUAAAAAUAUAAUUUCGUAAAUAGUGCAAUUUAUCUCCUAAAAAAAUAUCAAGAAAGGACAAAUAUGAAAAAAAAUUUAAACAUCCAACUUGAACUUUGAAUAAUUUAAUUACUCAACAAUAAAAAAAAAUCAAAAAUUCAGUUAAUAUGAAAUAAAGGGAGUAGCUAUUUAAAAUAAUGCUAUUUUAAUCUUUUUACUUGUAAAUUUUUUAUAUAGUGUCUAGUGAUCACGUUAGAUCUCAAUUUAUAUAGAGUAAAACUCAUUGAAGAAGAAAAUGCCCCUAUCAAUAUGUUUUUCAUAUUUAAUACUCCAAUCCAAAAGUUCUACUAUAAUUUUGUUCUGCUGACUAAGGUUUACUAUAUUUGUAAAAAUAUCUACCAAUGUUUGUUUAUAGUACUAUCAAGUUGAUGAUCUUUAUUCUUCAAUGUUUUCUUAAUUGGCGGAAUGACCUGAGAGACCCCUGUACUCGAUUCCGUUUGUCAGUUGAACCCUCAUACUCAUCAUUUUGCCAAUUAGACCCUUAAAUCGAUCAGAACACAACAUUUUAAGCCCUUUUCUCCUCCGGUCAGUGUGCGUGUAAUGGACGUGAUUACACGUGGAAUUCCACAUCAUUUUUUAGUGCCACGUACAAAAUUAAGUGCUAAAAAAAAUAAAAAAUCAAAUAGAUCAUUUACAAAUUCACAAUACCCAUUUAUUAUUUUUUAAGCUUUUUCAAGCUUAUCAAUGGAGUUUUAAAAUUUUCAAUAGUCAAAAUCAUCCUUCACAUUAUCCACAUCUCCUCGUUGAAACCAUCUAACAAAAUAAUGAUACUAAUAUUUUUCAAACCUAACAAAUGAAAAUUUUAGAAGAAGUUGAGGCUAUUGAUUUGUAUAAAAAAAAAAGAAGAAGAAGAGGCGGAGAAGAGUGAAUGUGGGGCUGGAGAAAGAAGAAAGUUGACGGCUGUGGUGAGGGGUAGAAGAGAGAGGGCUGGUGGAGAAGAAGAAAGUUGUGGGAUGGGUGGGUGAGUGGGUGAAGGAGGGUUGAAGAAGAUAGAUCUUAUUUUUUAAUUUUGUUAAAUUGAUUUUUUUAAAAGUAAAAUUUUGUUUUAACUCGCUUUCAAGCGCGUGUAAUCACACAUAUUUCUAACUCACCAAUAUUAAUGUCACAUAAGCUCGGUCAAUGGUCAAAGGAGUUUAAAAUAUUGUGUUCUGAUGCAAUUAAAGGUUUGGUUGGCAAAGUGAUGAGUAGGAGGAUUCAAUUGACAAACGGAGCCAAAUACAGGGGUCUCCCAGAUCAUUCUGCCUUCUUAAUUUAUAAAUGAGCUUCAAUAAAUUCAUACUACAACAAAGCGUACGUGCUUUUUCUAAUAAUGUUUUAUUAUUUAGCUUGCAAGACCUAAAUUAUUUGUCAAGAAUACUAAAAAUAUUCGCCACAAUUUAUAUUAUUUUUUCACAUUACUAAAGUUAUUCAUUUAUCAAUUUAUAGAAUCAAGAUAUAAUUAAUUAGUUAUUAUUAUUAUUAUUAUUUUUAUUUUGUCCUUAAAACUAAUUCUUUUAAAAGUGUAAAUCGUAUCGAUCACGUGCAUGAAUAUCGUAAAGUUUCAAAGGAAUUCCUCCAUUGUUUAGUUUUUUCAUGAAUACAUUUAGUCAGAAGAGAAUAUGAAUAAAAUUAGUAAAAAAUGUUAAUUCUUAUUUCUGAUUUCUUAAAUAGUUGGUAAAGAUAAAAUAGUCAAAGUAAUAUGAGAAAGUGGUCAAAGUAAUUUGAGAAAGUAAUCAAAGUAUUUAGAUUUUCAUAACUAAAUGUAGAACACAAUUUAUUUAAUAUGAGAAAAGAAGGAAAGUAGCAUUUAAAUUUCCAUGACUACAUUUAAAACAAAAUUUAAUGCUGGUAAAUUGAAUUAUGGUAACAAAAAUGAAGGAUAAGAAUGAGAGAAUUUUCUCCUUGUCUAUUUAAAGAGCUUCUAUUGAAACCUAAAUUAAAAUGGAUGAUUGUGUGGCUAAUUUUCUUGAAGAUAUAGUGAAGGAGAUUCUGUUGAGGUGUCCUGUAAAGUCGUUAUUGUGAUUCAAAUGUGUCCACAAGAACUGGUAUGCUCUAUUCAAAACCCCUAACUUCGUUCAACAACACUUGAACUGUAGCAAGAAUAAUCCCCCACAACUCCUGCUUUAUAAUACUGGUAACUAUGGUGAUCGUUAUGACUCUCGUUCCCUAACUUUGAUUUCUGAAGAAAAUCCCCAAACGUUUAAAGGUAUGGCAUACCUUUUAGGUUCUGUGAUCGACUUGUUUUUAAUGUUUGGAGUAAUUGAUCAUGUACAUUCGUGUGCAUUGUGGAAUCCUGCUACUAGGGAGGUGAGACUCCUCCAUCUCCCUCCACCAAUGAUCAAUGAUCGCCCUGUGUUCGGGUUAGGAGUAGACCUUUUGACUAAUGACUAUAAAGUGGUUUGCUAUUUGUGUGAAAAUUCAGCAGCGGUCUAUUCAUGUUCCAGGGACUCAUGGAGAAUUUUCAAACAUAGAAUCCCCUUCUUUACAGGCGUAAAACAAACAUUUGGUACUGCUUAUUCUAAUGGAGUUUAUUACUGGCUGCUAAGAGGCCAUCAUAGUUACUACACAGUUCUUUUAUUCGACUUUGGGAGUGAAAUGUUUGAGGGGAUUGAAGGGCCACAUAUUCAUACUUAUGUAUUUGGUUUGAUGUUGGUUGAUGAUUCUAUUGCCAUCUUGAGUUUGAACGACCUUAAUAUGUCUGAUUAUGCUAUAUGGGUAAUGAUCCAACCAGGGGUUUGGAGCAAACUUGUUACCUUUCAAUGCUUCCCAUUUAUUAAGUCUUGUUAUGAUAGCUCUCUCAUUUUGGCAACUAGAACUUCUCGACUGAUCUCCUAUAAUGUUCGAACUAACAAGUUGAAGGAUCUUGCAUUUCAACGUUCAGGCUUGGGAAAUCAUGCAAAAGCUAGUGGCUGUGGAGUAUUUUAUUAUAAUGAGAGUUUAGUCACAAUUAAACAACGAGAUGAUGGAGAAUUGGACCAUUAAUCGAGCUUCUGAACGAGUACAGAAGAUCAAAUGAUAUGCGACCUAAUCAUUUAUUUGUGAAGUAUAAGCAUGUUUACUUAAUGUUAUAACUCUAUUGUAUGCAUAAAGUGUUUGUAUUUGAGCUUAUAAGUAUGUAAAAUUACUUGAGCAAAUGAUAUAUAACACAUUUCAUUAAAGUUUUUUUCCUUUCAAGUUGAAGCAUAUAUAUUAUUAAUAAUGUCCAACUUGGUAUAAUUAAGGGUAUUUUACUCUAGUUUCAUUUAAAGCUUUGUGAAUAUAUCACCUAAUUUCUCUCUUGUCUUCAUAUAGCAAGUAGAAAUUAUGUUCUUGAAUCUUCUUAUGAAUAAAGUGAUAGUCAACCUCAUUCGUUAAUUGGAACAAGAGACAUUUCCUUCUUCUCUUCAUUAGUUGAUGGACUUGACUUUUUCUUUAGUCUGAUAGGUGUAAGCUCGAUCGAAAAUAAAAUUCUCUCACACGAAAUUCAAUCCCUAAUAUUCCUUGAAUAGGCAAGAUUUGUUUUAUAUACUGUAUGUAUACUAUUAUCUGUAUAGUGUCCAAUGAUCACAUUGGAUCUCAAUUUAUGUCGAGUAAAGCUCAUUGAAGAAGAGAAUGUACCCCUAUCAAUAUAUUUUUCAUAUCUAAUGGUCGAACUCAAAAUUUCUAUUACAAUUUUGUUCCUCCACUACAAUGUUGCUUUUUACUAUAUUAAUUAAAGACAUCUAUCAAUGUUUGUUUAUAGUACUAUCAAGACAAUGAUUUUUAUUCUUCAAUGUUGUCUUAAUUUAUACACGAGCUUCAACAAAUUCAUAUUACAAUAAAGCGUAUACACUUCUAAUAACUUUUUUUUUUUAUUUAGCUUGCACAAUCUAAAUUAUUUGUCAAGGUUACUAAAAAUAUUCGUCACAAUUUAUAUUAUCUUUUUCUUACUCCCUCCGUCCAAUAUUAUUUUUCCAGAUUACUAAAAAUAUUUAUUUAUCAAUUUGUAAAAUCAAGACAUAAAUAAUUAAAUAUUAUUUUUUCUAUUUUGCCCUUAAAAUUAGUUAUUUUUAAAUGUGUACACCGUAUUGAUCAAGUGCAUCACAUUGUGAAGUUUCAAAAGAAUUCCUCCAUUAUUAUUUUUUCCACGUAUGCAUUUAAAACCGAUUUGGAUUGACUUAAAAAAAAAAGUAGUUUUUAAGUCAAAAAAUAAAAAAGUCAAACUUAAAUGACAUUUAAGUCUAAAAAUAAAAAGUAGGGAUAGUCCUGCUUUUGUUUUUCUUAAAAACUUUUUAAAGUCAUUUUAAACUUAUUUAAAUUAUUUUUAACUUUGUCAACACUCCUAAAAUCUAAAAAUGAUUUAAACAUACGUUUGACCAACUUUUAAGUCAAUCCAAACAGACUCUUAGUAAAAAAAUACAUAUAUAGAUAAAACUAGUACAAAUAUUAAUUCUUAUUGAUGAUUUCUUAAACGACUGCUAAAGGGAAGUAGUCAAAGUGAUAUUAGAAAGUAGUCAAAGUAUUUGGAUUUUGGAACAUAAAAUUUAAAUUGAGUAAUAAGGAAAGUAGUAAAUAGAUUUCCAUACCUUAAUACAGAAUAAAAUUUAAUAUGAGAAAUGUAGUCAAAGUAUCAUUAGAAAGUAGUCAAAGUAAUUAGAUUUCCAUGAUUAAAUAUGGAACAAAAUUUAAAUUGAGUAAGAAGGAAAGUAGUAUUUAGAUUUCCAUGAUUAAAUUUGGAACAAAAUUUGAAUUGAGUAAGAAGGAAUGUAGUAUUAAUUAGAUUUCCAUGACUAAAUAGAGAAUAAAAUUUAAUAUGAGAAAUGUAGUCAAAGUAUUUUGGAUUUGCAUGACUAAAGGUAGUAUAACAUUUAAUGGUGGUAAAAUGAAUUAUGGUAAUAGAAAUGUAGGAUAAGAAUGGGGGAAUUUCUUUCUUGUCUAUUUAAAGAAGAAGCAAUAUUGCUUUUGUUGAAACCUCAAAAUGGAUGAUUGUGUGGUUUAUUUCCCUGAAGGUAUACAAAUGGAUAUUCUGUUGAGAUGUCCAGUGAAGUCAUUGUUGCGCUUCAAAUGUGUCAGCAAGAGCUGGUAUGCUCUUAUAAAAAACCCUAAAUUCGCUCAACAACACUUGAAGAAUGGAAGCCCCCCACAACUCCUCACCUAUACGGUUGGUACCUCUGAUGAUGCUGGUCAAGAUUCUCGUUCCAUCACUUUGAUUUCUGAAGAAAAUCCACAAACGUUCAAAGGUAUGACACACCUCAUAGGUUCUGUGGACGGCUUGUUUUUAAUGUACAAAACAAUUGAUACUGUGAUUUCGUGUGCAUUGUGGAAUCCUGCUACUAGAGAGGUGAGAUCCCUCCAUCUCCCACUCCCUGCACCCAUAAUAUAUGAUGUCCCUGUGUUGGGGUUCGGGUUGGACCCCUUGACUAAUGACUAUAAAGUUGUUUACUUUCAUUGCGAUUGUUGGCAUAAAUAUACAACAUCAAUCUAUUCCUGUUCUAGGGGCUCAUGGAGAAUUUUUAAACCUAAAGAAUCACUACCCUUCUACACAGACGUGAAAAACACAUUUGGUACUGCUUAUUUGAAUGGAGCGUAUUACUGGCUGCUAAGAGGGGGCAACCAUUGUAAUUACACCAUUCUUUCAUUCAAAUUUGGAAGUGAGAUGUUUGAAGAGAUCGAAGGGCCAGAUGGAAACGUUGUAUAUACUUUUGCGUUGGGUUUGAUGUUGAUUGAUGAUUCCAUUGCCAUCUUGAACUAUAACCCAUGUAGUAUGCUUGCUUAUGAUAUUUGGGCUUUGAUCCAACCAGGGGUCUGGAACAAAAUUGUGACCUUUCAACUCUUCACACCGAUUAAGUCUUUCUAUGAUAGCUAUCUCAUUUCGGUAGUUAAAGCUUCUCAACUGGUCUCUUAUAAUGUUCGGACUAAUAAGAUGAUGUAUCUUGGAUUUCAACAUUCGGGCUUGAGUAAACAUCCAACAUUUGGUGGUUGUGGGGUUACUUAUUAUAAGGAGAGCUUAGUAACAAUCAAACAACAAGAGGAUGGAGAGCCGGACCAUUAAUUGAGAUUUUAAACGAGUACAACAAAUAAUAUGUGACCUAAUCAUUUAAUUGUUUUAAGUAUGUAAUUGAACUUAUAUGUUCACACAAUUUCAUAGUACUUGGUUUUGGUCUUUCAAAAGCUGAUUAUAUGUGGCCUCAACUUGUUCUAUAGAAAGACUCUUCCUUUUGUGAUGCUUUAUAAAGUUUUGAUUUCAAAUUUAGUUUGAUUUUCUUAUUGUUACACUGAGUAUCCAGCAAAAUGAAAGUGGUGUAAAAGUAAUAUCCAUAGGGAGCAUUAUUAUUGCAAGUGUGAAGAACUCAAAUAUUCAUUGAUACAAGUUAUAUUUAAUACACAAACUAAUAUAGGCUAAUAUAUACAUGUUUGACAUAACCAUUAGAGUGAUGCAAUUGUAUUCAUUAACUUGUAUCAAUUGAUACAAUUGGUAAUCUUCUUGUUUUUCCUACGUAUUCAUUCGAAUAUUUGGCAGAAUACAAUUGAUACAACAAGAGAGCGAGAUAGAAAGGUGAGAGAGGGGGACAUAGGAGAGAGAUUUACGGUAAAACUUUAAUUAUAGUUAUAUUUGAUAAUAUUUUAAAACUAUAGCUAAAUAUAGUAGAUAUAGUAGUUAAAUUUGCUAGGUUAUGUGAAAAUUUCAUAUAUGCUACAAAUGUCGAAACCAAAAACUCCAAGAAUAAUUCAUCAUUAUCAAAAUAAUUUUCUUUCGGCUCGAAUCUUGAAUGUUGGUCUUUCUUCAACCAAUUUUUAACCCCAUUGGGCAGGGUCAUCCUUUUUUAUAAAAAUAAAAUAAAUUAAAAUGGGGUUCAACAUUGGCCCUACCUUGUUUUAUUUGAAAUAAUUACAAGAAAUAGGAACAUAAAACCGAAAACCUCCCUGAGUAAUACCAAAAAACUAGAAUAGAUUACAUAUAUAAAACUAGAGAGUAAAUUUGCACAUGAUAUGGUUAAGAAGGUUAACAAGUGAUCUUUUUAAAUUAAAAAUAUAUUUCUUUUUAUAAAUAUUUUGAUAAAGUUUUUCGUCAUAAGUUAAUUUGAACUAUCUAUCAGUCAAUUUUUUCGAUGGAUUGAAUUAAGCGGAUCAUGUUCUCAUGGGCUACAUAUAUCUCAACAAUCUUUUUGAGUUUCCAAGGAGGUUUUUGUUAAGAUCGAAAUAAUCAAGUGUUACGUAAAAACUAGCAAAACAAAUCUUUUCCUAUAAGAGAAAGAACUAGCUAAAUAUGAAAAAAUUGUGUUAGGAUGAUCAGCUUGCAUAUUCUUUGGCAAAAUGAAGUUCAAUAAUAAGCAGAAAGUCAUUUUGAGUACUGUUUAUGUAUUUCUCUUUUUCUCGUAAGUCCUAUGAAUAUGAACAUUAUUAAGAAACUUACUUUAUUGUAGAAGCCAUCAUUAUUUAUUAAAUAUAUUACCAUAACAACAUGCUAACCAUUCGAAUGUCUCUUUUUUUUUUCUUUCACUUUUUUUAUUAUUAUUAGGAUGUGUACAUUCCAUCAUUGUACCAAAAUAUUACUAUUAUGGUAUUAUUUGUUCGAAAGGAAUCAAAAGUAUAUUAUGAUAAUAGUUUGGAUUGGAGUAGGGCCGGCUCUAUGCUUAUAUGAAUAAGGCAUUGGCCUUAGGCCCCCAACUUUAGGGGGCCUCAAUUUUUUGUCAAUAAUAAAUUAUGUAUAUGUUAAUUUUUUUUAUAGAAAAGAUUAAUUAUUUAUGAUAAAAUAUGUUUUUUAAAAUAAAAAUUAUUAUUUUAUUCUCUUUAAUCUCAUUUAAAUAGAAGAAAUCAAGAAAAAAUGUUUUAUUUUCUUACACUCUCUACGCUAAUAUUUACAAUAUUUUAUUCUUUUAACUCCUUUUACGCUCCCUUUUUUAAUUUUUGAUAAGUUAGAGUAAUACUCUAUCAAAAAUAUGAAUCAAUAGUCGAAAUGUGUUGAGCAAAGUGAAUUGUAAUUUUUUUUUCUAUUUCUUCUUAGAUUUUCAACCAUUACAACAAGCAUAGUGAAAUGUGAGGUAUACAAAAUUAUCAUCUUCUUGAAUCAAAUUCUAUGUUAACAAUUCAUAUAAUAAUUGCCCGAGUAAGAAGAUGUUUUUCAACGUUGAAUUGAUAAAAUCUUAUCUGAAGCUAAUAAUUGAAAGAGAAAUCGAAUAAAUCAUUUAUAGAAAAAAUAUUAAGUAUACUUUGCAUUUAAAAAUGUAAGUUUUUAAAAAUAAUAAUAAUUAAUGCAUAUGAAGUUUAUUUAGAUUUUAGGCCUCUAGUUGAAAUUUCACUUUAGGCCUCUGAUUGCAUUGACCCGCACUCAUUGGUCCUCUUGACUAAUGACUAUAAAGUGAUUUACUUUCAUUGUUAAUCAUUUGUAUGAAUAUUAUGCAUCGGUUUAUUCAUGUUCUAGGGAUUCAUCAUGGAGAAUUUUCAAACCUAAAAUCCCCUUCUUUACCAAUGUAAACCAUGCAUUUGGUACUGCUUAUUCGAAUAGAGCAUAUUACUGGCUGCUAAUGGGAGUAACUACACCAUUCUUUAAUUUAUUCGAUUUUGGGAGUGAAAUGUUUAAAGAGAUUGAAGGAUCAGAUCGUCAAUCUGUUCAUACUCAUGUGUUGAUUGAUGAUUCCAUUGCCAUCUUGAACUUGAACCCACGUAAUAUGUUUACUUAUGAUAUAUAUAUAUAUAUAUAUAAAAUAAGGCCAUGCACUUAAUCGGAUUAAUUAACUUGUCCUCUUGACUUUCUUAACAUAAAUGGCCUACGUACAUACAAAUAAUAAUAUUUGACAAACAUCGAUCGAUCACUACAAGCAAGACUAUAUUAUUUUUGUAAUAUAAUUAAUUACGUUUUGGAAUCAAGAUGGCCGGCUUAAUACACAAGCCGUUAAUUAAGGCAAGUGUUUAGAUCCUAAAUUUUAUGGAGACCAAUUUUUCAAUAGCUACUAAAAGUAAAGUUAUAAUUAUAGAUCUUUUUACGUUUAAAAUUAUUGAACUAAGCUAAGAAUAAAAUAAAAUGUUCAUUGUAGUAGUUUCAUAUACUCAUCAAACUAUUCCAAGAAAUUAAACAUUAGUGUCCAAUAAAUUUGAGUUUAAUUAGCAAGUUAGACGAAAUGAUGAGAUUAUCCUUUAUCAUGUUGAGCUUCCAUUAAUUUCCUUUUACUUUAAAUAUAUACCUCUCAUACAUAUUUAACAUCAAUAUCAUGAUUUUGAAAUAUUUUUAUAUUUUUACUAAUUGAUAUGAAAUGCACAUGUGGUACACGAGAUGCAUAUAUGACAUGAUCAAAUGUUAAAGUAAACCGCUUUACAGAGUUAAAGUAAACUGCUUCAAGUAAAAACUCAAACUAAUGGCUAAUGCUCAAUUUACAGAGUUCUAAUGAAAAUUAGGUAGAACAUCUCGAUUGAUUUCAAAUUCUACUUAUACAAAUAAAGCUUUUAUCAUAAUUUAAUUAUUUUUUGAAAUAUUUCAUCAACAAUUAAAUUGUGUAAUUUAAAAUUUUCUUCAACUGCUUAAUUUUGAUCUAGCAUGAAAAUGUUGAGUUUUUAAAUGUACCAUCUUUAUUCAUAAUUGUAGAAGCCAUCAUUAUUCAUUAAAUGUACCACCAUAACAACAUGCUAACCAUUCGAAUGUUUUUUUCUCCUUCACUUUUUUUAUUAUUAUUACGAUGUGUGUACAUUCCAUCAUUGUACCAAAAUAUUAGUAUUAUGGUAUUAUUUGUUUGAAGGAAUCAAAACUCCUUUUAUAUUUAAAGUAUAAUAUGAUGAUAUAUAAUAUGACGUAAUAUGAUGAUGAUAUAAAUAAUAUGCUAUAAUAAUUAUUUAAUAUUUAAUUAAAUAUAUAUAUUUAAAGAUACAAAAUACAGAGUGGCAAUGACAGUAUCCAUCACUAUUUUUCUUAGGUGAUAGACAAAAGUACUAACUUUUUUCUUAUUCCCUUAGCAGCCACAAAAGUACUAAUAUUUUUCUUAUAUCCCUAGCAGCCACAAAAUACUAAACUUUUUUUCUUAGAACCCUCACGGGUGCUAGUAAAUAGGCGGGUUGGAUUAAAAUUGAGCGGAUUGAAAACAGGUUAAUAUAAAAUGAGUAAUAAUUAAAAAUGGAUUGAAUAACAAAUGGAUUUGGUAAAAUACAUGUUUGACACAUAUUUUCAUGUGUAAAUAGUGUUUUAAUUUUCUUUUUUUUUAAGAUGAAAAAUGUUGAAAAUAUUCAUUUAGUUUUAUGAUUAGUUUUAUUGUAUCAUAAACCUAAACCCGACACCCAAUGCGGCACCUGACCCCGACUCCCCAUUUGGGACCCGACUUCCUUCUCGGGAUUCCACUCCGACUUGGGAACCGACAUCCGAAUUGGGAUUCGACCUCGACACCUGAAUCGAGAUCCGACCCCAACAACCGACCCGGAACGAACUUCCAAAUCGGGAUUCAACUCCGGGACCCAAACUCGACACCUAAUUUGGGACCUGACCUCGACUCUGGACCCAAAAUCUGACUCCUGACUCGGAACCCGACAUUUGAACAGGGCUUAAUCCUGACUCCGACACUGACACCUGAUGACUGAUCCAGGACUCGAUCCUUAGCAGCCACAAAAGUACUACGUAAUUUCUUUCUUAUAACCCUGACCAUUACUCUCUAAUUUGUUGUAAGAUGCCAUCUGAUUUUGUAAAAGAAAUGUGUGCCUGUUACAUCCUUUCUAAGAAAAACUAUAUGGUAAAUUAAGAGUGUUAGAUUAUCAGAUAGAGAAUCACUUUAAUAUCAUCUUUUCUUGUUAUUUAACUAACGUACUAGAGUUUAAUAUAUGCCAAAAGUAGAUAACUUCAUUACUACUGAACUUUAGUUAUUAAAAUAUUCUGGUUUUCAUAUAAAAUUGUAAAGCUUUUAUGUGCAUAAUGGCAUUUCCAUUAUUGAGUCCAAUAAUGUAACUUAGUUUAUUCUCAGUACAUAUAUAAAUUGUUAUAAUGCAGCACAACUUAAGUCACAAGAAUAAUUUGAAGUAUUGUUCUUAGCCUUUAUUACUCGAAAGUUAUGGCGAGUCGUAGUUUGUUCCCCUGCCUUACUGUUUUGUUCUGUGUGAUGAGUAUUCUGGCUCCCUUUAGUGAUGGUCAGCUUGAUUAUAGUUACUAUGAGAGAGCAUGUCCGAGCUUGCAUAGGAUUGUUCGUUGGAAUGUUUGGGAAGCACUCCGUAGUGACUCAAGAAUAGCUGCAUCCCUCCUUCGUUUGCACUUCCAUGACUGUUUUGUUAAUGUAAGUAGUAAGUACAACAUCUUAUUUCAUUUGUUUGAUAAUCAUUUUCAUGAUCAAUUUAUGGUUAUGAUUUUGAUAGGGUUGUGAUGGAUCCGUGUUGCUUGAUGACACGUACUAUUUCAAGGGCGAGAAGAAUGCUGCACCAAACCGCAAUUCAGUCAGAGGAUAUGAGACGAUUGAUAUCAUAAAAGCACACGUUGAAAGAGCUUGCCCGUUAACUGUAUCUUGUGUGGAUAUAUUAACUCUUGCAGCUAGAGAAGUUGUUGUCAUGGUAAGUAACAGAUGAGUUGUUGUAAUGCUUGGAAAUGAUUAAACCAAAUACGAUAAAUUUUCCUUUCUUGCUUUACAGGCAGGAGGACCAUUUUGGCCUGUUUUACUUGGUCGACGAGAUGGACUAUCUGCCAAUGAGAAAGCAGCAAAUGAACAAUUACCUUCGCCAUUUGAGCCUCUGGAUAAAAUCGUGGCCAAGUUUUCCGAUAAAGGUCUUGAUCUAAGGGAUUUAGUAGUUCUUUCAGGUAUCUUUAGUAAAAUUCAUAAGUUUUCCUUAGUUUAGGCGUGGCCGUCCUGCAUUCUUCUUAAUGAAAGUUCUGACUCUGCAACUUAUACAGGAGCACACACAAUUGGUUUUGCUCAAUGUUUCACAUUCAAGGGGAGACUUUUCAACUAUCAAGACUCAGGAAAGCCAGAUCCAAAUCUCGAUUCUUCAAUGUUGUCGAAAUUGCAAUGCACUUGUCCUGACACGGAUGAAUCCAACACCACACUUACUCCUUUAGACAUACAAUCUGUUACGAGAUUUGACAAUGCGUAUUACAGAAACCUUAUGAACAACUCAGGACUACUUGAAUCAGAUCAAGCUCUAAUGUCAAAUUCUCAGACAGCUGAUAUGGUCAAAUCUUACAGCUUGUACCCUCAUCUUUUCUACAAAGAUUUUGCUGCAUCGAUGGUAAAAUUAGGAAAUGUUGGAGUCCUCACGGGACGAACUGGACAAAUUAGGGAAAUAUGUGGCUCUGUAAGUAAUAGAAUGUUUCUGUCAAGUAUGUUUAGUCUUAGUGUUAGACAAAGUUUAUCAACUGUGCUUGCUUCAGUAUGCAUGUUUUUACUAGUAAUAGUUUAACUCGACAUCAAAUGAUGUCGUACAAGUAGAGAUUUGUGGUUACUACUCAUUUCGGUCCAAAAUAAAUGAAUUAAGGACUGGUAAUUUGUUAAUAUCACCAUUUGCUUCUGAAAAAUUUAUUCGAUUUUGAUGUUUGACACUACGAUGAUGGCUAAUUUCCUGAAAAACCACGAGAGCGAUAACAAGAAGACUAAAUAGGGACACGUGACACAAUCUUAUUCGUCGGUCCGAUAUUUAAUAAAUGUCGGGUCGGUCGAUACGAUUAUGAUAUGUGUAUAUCCGUUAGUAUAAAGGGUAUAUAUGCUCUAGUUUUUGGACAGCAGGAGCAUCGAUAUCCCAAAAGUAUGACGGAGGGUGUCUGCAUACCAUUUACAAUAGUUCGGAUAUAUUAGUCCUUUUUCCCUUUUAUUUAAUACUAGUUUCUGGGUACGCGCGCCGCGCGUGUAGCCAAGUUUACCAAUUACUAUAAGUUUAUAGUAUAUGCCAAUUGUGCUCCAUGUAAGUCCUUAGAUAUCUUAUUAUAAUGUUUGACUUGUAAAUGUUAAGUAUUUAUAGAAUUUAUGUUGCAGUAAAAAGUAUAAAUGAUGGUGGAUAUAGGAAGAUUUUUUACCAAUUAGUGUUACACAUAUAAUUGUUAGAGUAAGAGUGUUUGUUUGAAAAUUAAAAUAGUUAUCUAAUUCUAUAUGGAUCAUUGAUAAUGAACUUUAUACUUUUAGAUCUCUUUAUUAUUAAUUAAAAGAGGCAAUAUAUUAAUUCAUGAGAUAAUGAACUAAUUAUAAAUGUAUGUAUAGUCAUUCAACAUAUUUGCCAAAUAUUUCAUAUUAUCCAUGUAAAACAAUCUGGCAUAUAAUAAAAUAUCUAAUCUUUCAUUGAGAUAAUUUUUAAUUUCAUUUGGAAAUAAGAAAUAUAAUAUUGUACAUGUUCCACGCCAAUAAUUAUAUAAAAUCUAAUAAGUAAUAUCUAUUUACUUGUAAUCUAGACACAAAUUUCUUUAUAUAAGCAAAGAACAUAUUUAACUAAAAAGGAAUAAGAAAAUAAUACAUUAUAAAAGAACAUUUAAAACUAAUACAAAAAUCACUUACAAAAAAUGGUCAUCACUAUAAGCACUUUACAUAAAAUAGUACAAAUAAUUCAUUAUUUUGUUGUAAUUCAUACAACAUGAUUAAAAAAAUAUUGUUUUCUGCCAAACAUUCUUUACAAUUAAUUAUCAAUCAACCAUAGCGCUUAUGAUCCAAAUACAACAAUAAUGCUAUUGCCCUUAACAUUUCUACAAAGAAUGAUGCCAACUUUUCUUUUGCGGUUUAUGACUAUGACCAGAAAGGAUACCAAAAAAGAAGAAAGAAAUGAUAUACCAAAGAUGAGAAAAUAGAUCUUAAUUUAUAAGAGAGUAUUGCCAUUAACAUACUUUAAUAAGAAGAUCAAACAUGAGAUUUGUAAAUUCAUUUCCCUUUCUAGGUGACUUUAGAUAGGAAAAACUUAGGUGAGGGGAGAUGAAAGGAAAAAAAUAAAAGAGGUCCAUCAGUUUCCUACGUAAUUAUGUAAUGUUUGGUCUUCACCUUAAUUCAUUGAACAAUUUAAUUAGAAGUCUUUUUGUCUUCUUGAUAAUAAUUACUUAUAACAAUUUAAUAUUAAUUCACCAUACAACAUGAAUAAAUUGUAAUCGAAAGAAUUUGAUAAAUUUGAUAUUGGCUUAAUGUGUAACUCUCCCUUGUAUUAAUUAAAAUUUACUAUUUAAUAUUUAAUUAAAAAUUUAUUAGAUAAUUAAUAGUAUUUGUAUUUGAUAUAGGGACAAAAUGGUAAUUUAACUUUUGCCUAACAUUCUUCCCACUUUUAGUAUAAAUAUGAAAUAUGAUAAUAUAAUAAUAAUAUAUAAUAUGAUAUAUGAUAUGAUGAUUAGAUUAUAGUAUACAUAUAGAUUAUAGAUGAUAAAUAUUACUCUUAAAUUAGAUAUUUAAUUAGGAAUUAAUCUAAGGAAGUGCAAAAAUCGUUAACAUUUUUAUUAAAAUGAUACAAUUUAAUAUUUGAAUUAAAUAGUUAAAUGUUUUUAUAACAUUUUAAUUUAUAGUAGGGGUAAAAUUGCAAUUCAAAUUUUAGCUUUUUUUGUUCCCACUUAUAGUAAUACUAGUCUCUAGACACGUGCAUUGCAUGUGUGUCCUGUGUUAAUUAGUACAAAAAAAUUAAAUGAUAUAGAUGCUACUAAAACUUGCAAGUAAUUUUGAGCAACUAAAUUGUGAAAGAGAAGUAUAAUUGUUUGUAGUUAUACACAAUCUAUUGAAUUGGUAUAUGUGAUAUUUUUCUUAUAUAGUUCUAAUAUAUCUUAUACUUAGUACAACAUGUCCCUUAUUGUUUUUUUAAUAUUUCAACAACAAAUAGUUUAUAUGUGACAUAAGUAACGUUGAUUAUGGUUUGCAAGUGUUUCACACAUCUUAAAGUUUGUAUCUUGUGUAAGAAACUGUAACCUCCUUUUUAUAGACACAUGCAUAUCAAAAAUUUUCUGGGGUGUUACAGUUUUAGUCUUGUUGGAUCAUUUGAUUUUAAUUUUAGUUUGUAACGGUAGGCUAGCUUUUGCAAGUUUCUAAAGGUCUGUAAUUUGAUUAACAUUAAAAAAUUUCAUAAUAUGUUUUGACAAUGACAUGUAAUUUUAGCUUUCGUACUACAUUUGCUCUUAUUGAUACAAUUUCUCAUCAUCUUUCUUGUUUCACUAUAUCAAAGUAGUUAGAGAAGUGAGAAAUCAUAUAUUAUUUUAGGAAUAUUUUCUUAUUGAAUAAAUUAAAACCAAACCGAUAACGAUCAAAAAUCAAUAAACCGAAAACUAAUAAAAAAUAUCUUAUUAAUUUGUUAUUAGAUUAGCAUAUUUAAAAACCGAAAACCAAGAACUCAACUGCAUUCAGUUUCAAGUCGAUUACUCAGAUAGUUACUGAUAUAUGAGUAAAUUUAGUAAAAUGUAAUACAAAUCAUUUGAUUAUAACAGCUCAAAGAAACACAUCAACAGUUGAGGACAAUUUUCAUAUCAGUGACAACUUCUGCAAUUAUAUUGUGAAAUGCAACUUGUAUAGGAAAAUGGAGGAAAGCAAAAUCUAAGUCGAAGGAACAAAAUUUUAGGCCAUCCCAGAGGUAACCAAAACUGCUUCGAACAUUCAAGAACCAUUUCCCUGACGAGAUGAUCUGUGGUGCCGCUCUUUUUUGAAACGCAAUUGCUCUGGAUCAAACCCGCCUUCCUCAGCUCCAUAGACAGCCCAAGAUGGUGUUGGUGUCAUGUAAUCUUUACUUGUAAAGGGCCUUCCAGAAGCUACCUGUAGCGCCAUAUGUGUAAAAAACAUUGAUUACGCUAUUGGAAAAGGAAUGGUAUAGUUAUAAUUUACUUAACUGAACUCUUACGCACUGAAUUUUGAAAUCAAAUCAACUAGUAGAAGAGAAGAGGGAGGGGAAAGGAAAAAAGUGAGGGGGAGAACUUACGUUCCACAAUAAGUGACACCUUUGAUUUCAAUGAAAUCGGGUUUUCCAAUGCUGAAUAGGCUAGAAUAUGCAUCCACAUCUUCUGUGUUCCACCCUUUAACGAGUGUCAAACGAUAGACAGUUCUUUGCUCCUUCUCCUUGAGAGCUCUCAAGGAAAUCCUAAUGAAAUCAGAAAUAACACAAACCAAUAGUGAGCAGUCUGAAUGGAAGAAAACAAACAUGAAAAAACAGAGAAAAUAUGGCAAAUUUUGAUUUUGUUUCCUGUGGCCGAUGAAUCUUUUUUAGCACUGAUGUAAAAGUAAACAUUUAAAACUUUCCUCUCACUGCUAUAUCACAAAAACAGCAGUUUGAGACACGCUGCUAUAAUUCACUAGUUUACAGCUGACAACUCUAACAGCAGUUUGAGAUUACGCUAUUUUAAUUUUUUUGAUUGAAUCUGACAAAUAUCUUUAUAUUCAAGACACUUAGAAGAAAUCGCUCCCAGAAGUCUCCAAAUAGUGGUCUGUCAAUUGCUUUUAAGCUGUCCUUUGUACCAGCAUCUACGCUGACAUACAACUAUACAUUUAAAGAUGAAGCGAGAAUUAGAUAUGGAAUUUGGAUAUUGACAUACUUAAAAGAUUGAUAAAGAAAGACGAAUACAGCCUAGUAAAAUCAAUUUCUCAGACAAACGCUCAGCUUUAACACCUGCAAGGGUGAGAUAUUCUGGUCAAUAACCACUACAAGCAAGAAAGUGGAAGGACAUCUAUUUUUUUUUUUUAAUAAAGAAAAUGCAUAUGUAAGGUGGAAAGGACAUCAAUUUUAUCCAGACAGAUUAAAAAAAUUGUGAAAAUUCUGUAUCCACUUCUACAUUUCAUGUCCUUAAGGAGUAGAGUAAGUAGGGAAGAUGCGGAAUGGAGAACCAACAGUUAGCAGUAUCAGUUUUACCAUUUUUUAUUCGGAAAUCGGAAGGACCUUGCAUCAAAAUUAAACACAACUCAACCCAAGGUGCUGGACACAACAAAAUGACCAAACAGAGACAUGUUGAAUACAAUCACCAAAUGAUUUCAAUCAAGCACAUUAUUUCUCAUGUGGCAUUGCUAAACUUCCCUACAAGUUCACACGGAAACAUAUAUGUUCAUGUGUACCAGAAAACAAACCUGGAACGCCUUUCAUCAGUUUUAUCAUUUUGGUAUGCAAAUCUAUAGCUGUGUUCACAAUCUCAAUAGGAUCAUCCAUCUUCCACGUCCAGCUCUUCCCAACAGGAUUUGUGUGAUGUCUCCAACAAAAAACACAUUUGUUUGCACAUGCUAAACUAGGAGUGGCCUCCAUGCACCUAUGCAGUGGGUAAAUGCAAAUUCAGCUUUAAAAUCAGCAUACAAGGCUAGGAAGUCAAUAAAUACCAAGUUGACAUCGUAGACUCCUCACCCCAACGCUAUCUUCCCUGACAGUAAAUCAAAUGAUAGUGCAUAGGUUCUCUUCGAUGCAGCAGGAUACGAGACGACGUGACAUACUACAAUCACGUACAAAAGUGUUAUCCUUCGUCUCGACAAUACGAAACCUCUCAACAACUCUCGUUCUUUUAUGGGAUUCUAUCGGGAUAGGUAGGCCCAAGCCUUUUCCCUCCCCAUUCCCUCUAUAAGACCCUCUUUCUCUUAUCCUCUCGAGAAAGAAGAUAAGAAAGGAUUUAUUUUUUCUUUCAUUUGAACGGGGUGAUUACACGACAUGACACAUUUACAGAUGCAACUUUGUAAUGACAUAAUCAUAAAGCUAUCUGGAAGUCGAGGAUUAGAGUAGACGAUUAGUAGGCGAUGAUCAACAUUGUUUGAUUUCCUUAUUAGUGUCAUUCUUCUUCUUCUUCUUCUUCUUCUUCUUUUUCUUAUUAUUAUUUGAUUUUAUUAUUACAAGUUGUUUUUUUUGUUUCAAUUGUCAUGUUACUUGUUGCCGCUAUUAUUCUUCUCUCUGCUAUAUUAUACAGGACUUCUUCACUACUAAUUUAUCUUCCUACUGAUAUUGAUAUGGUUUACUUGAAUCGAUUGCCUUAUUGGAUACCAUCUCUCUUCAUUUCAUAACGUAUAACCUCUAUACCUUUAUUAUAAUACAAAGGUAAGUUUGUAACUUGCGCAUACUCCAUUCUUUCUAGACUUCAUUUAUAGAAUUACACUAAUACGUAAAUUCCCUCAAUAAACCUAUAAUUUUGUUAAAUAUGUUAUAUAUAUGUGAAAAAUAUUACUAGUACUUAUGUUUUGACAAAUUUAAAGUACCAAAAUUGUCCGGUUAGGGUUUAAGGAAAAUAAAUUAUUCAAUUCACACUACACCAAAUUUGGUCUAAGGGCACAUCAACUGCAGACAACGUUUAAAAAGUGUUGCCAAAAAUACCUAAGGGAAGUAGGGAAUGCUUUCAAGGCGUGACUUUUGUGUAGGGUUUUUGGCAACACUUUUAAAGUGUGCUCUUUGUAAUUAUUAGUUACACGUUCUAAGCGUUGUCAAAUCGAAAAAUAAUUGACAACGCUUAUUUAUAUAUAUGACAACACUUUUAAGUGUGCUAUAUUUAAAAAUCUAAAAACAACACUUUACAAGUGUGCCCUAUUAAAAUUUUGGCUAAAAUAUUAAUAGUCCCUGUUGACACCUAAUUUUGACCGACCUUUAAAUCUUUUGUGAAAUGCUAUUUGAUUAAAUACAUAUUUUCAAAAUAUAUUUCAAAUUUAAAAUUUUAGUCGAUUUUGUCUAAAAUUAGAUAUUUUAGUACGCAUGCUUUAUAAAAAUUAUUGUAAAUAUUAUUAAAUUAUUCACUUAAAUUAUUUUUAUCGACAUUUAAACUCGAAAUAAUAAUUUUAUUCAAAUGUUUAAAAUUCAAGUGAUUUUAAUUAUAUAAAAAUAUUAUAAUAUUUGUAGUAUCUUAAUUGGAUAGCAUUUCUUUAAAUUUUCUCUAAAUCAUUUAAAGUUUAACCUAUUUUAUUAUAAUUUCUUUCAAUUCUAGCCUAUUCAAUUCUAUUUGUAUUUCAUUUAUAGCCACCCUUUCAUUUUAAUUCUAGCCAAUUUCAUUUCAAUUUUGGCCAUUUCCAACUCUCAUAUCAUCCGUCCAUUCCUUUAAAUUAAAUCCUAGCCGCUCAUCUAAACUAAUCCUACGGUUCAAAUCGAAUCAUCAAAUCCUUCCUUAUUUCAAUACUAAAAUCCCCUCCACACCAGCGCCGCCCCACCCUUACUCCUCUCCAUUUUGCUCCGGCAAGAGCAGCUGCCAGACCGCCGCCCAGCCUCCACCCCUCUCUCCCGUUCUCCUCCCUUUUCCGGCUCUCUUUCCCCGUCGCUCCCAUUCUCUCUCUCUCUCCUCCUUGCUCCCUCUCGUCUCUCCAGUGAACGGCAGCGGCACCCAGCUGCUCCGACAAUCACCGGCGAGCUCCGGACAGCAGCAGCUCGGGCGAAGGCGAACAACUGGCGAGAUCUUUCUCUCCCCCUCGUCUCAGCUCCUCCAUUCUCCAGCGAGCAAAGCAGUAGCAGCAACGAAACGAACCAGCAGCGAGCAGCGAGCAGCUCCGACUAAGCGAGAAGCUCCGGCGAGGCUCCAGAUUCUGGAAUUUUGCACAAGACGGGUUUCGACAGAUCAGUCCAGGUUUGUCUUUGUUUAAUUAUUAUUUGUCUUCUAAAAAUAGCUUAAAUUUGACUAUGAUUUUCUGCUAUAUUUUAUGAAUGUGUACUCAAAAUCGAUAAUAGUUGUGAACCUUGUUUAAGCAAGAAUCUUGUGUGACGCAUGAACAAUUGAGAUUUUUUUUUUUUUUUAAUUCAUGUGCGUGUUAUCAUAAUAUAUGUGGCGUGUUUAAAUUAGAUUCAGGUUAGUUCAUGGCUUUGCUAUCGAUUUUUUUUUUAUCAUCAUGCUUAAAUACCUUUGAAUUGAUUAUGUUUAUUCAUGAUGUGAACUUGAUUAUGUUCGUGAUUAUGAACUAUUUUGGCUCGAGUCUGAUUCUGGGAAUAAUCAAUAUAUUGCUUAUAUGAUUUCAGAUUCUUAACAGUUGGUAUUUAAUUACUUAUGGUAAUUUUAGUAUGCUAAUUGAUUCUCAUUAUUAAUUUAGGAAGAUUGUUACUUGGUACUUAUCUUAUUAGUGAGCGAAUUCCCUCUUUUCUCCAAUCAUUGGUGCUGCCUUCCUUUUGAAAAUGAUCUAAGUGAGUUUUACAUUGUUGGGGGUACUUUCGAUUUAAUCUUUGCUUCACCAUUUUUGUAUAAGUUGAAGCUUUGACACUAAACCCAUCAGCUUUCUUCCCCAAUAUAUCCCUCCAAAAACCCUAUCUGUAAAACCCAGAAGGCAAUUGCAAUCUCUCAACAAGGAGAACUCGGUAAGGGUUCGACUCGUUUUUUGUCUUUUUUUUCUUUCAUCAAAUCUCUAUAUUAAGCCCAGAAUCUGUAUCCUGUGUCAUUUUUCAAACCAAAUUGAUUUUACAUUUUAUAAAAAAAAUAUUUUUUUCAUCCAUGUUGGAUAUAGAUAUAUCUAUUUAAUGUCUAUUGUAUAAAUCGAAUGGGUAGGUUGAGAAUUGGGAUGCUUUGUUACUGAUUGGAGGAAUAAUUGGGGCUUGCUCAAGUGGUUGAGCACCUUCACCAUUGGUAAUUGAGAGUUUGAAUUACUUGGGUGAGUAAGUGAGAAUACUAUUGAUCCUCCGUCGGUGGGGUGGGAAAAAAAAUCAGUAAUCAUGUAAUAGAGAUGUUUAUGACCCAUAACUUUGCUGUGGAAAGUAAUGUCUUUGCUGUGAUUCUUUUGGUGUUGUAGAGGAAUAAUAUUUCUUUAAUCUCGUGCAGUUUUUUCUCUAAUUCAAUGGAGCUAGAGGAUAGCGUUUUAAAUUUCUCUGAUGAAGACGAGAGCUUUGAGGAUGAUGAAGAUGUUAAAAUGAAUGAUAUUGAGGAAGGAGAACUGGUUGAGAAGAUUUCCAAGACUGGAUUAGAGGAAACUGGUGGUGCAUGUGCCAGCUCUGAAAAUCCUCUUCCAGGCAAAAAAAAUCGGAGACGCAGGAAGAACAAGGGGAAGAACAAACGAAAGAGAGUCUCUUCAGGUCCAAUCACAGACAUUAACAGGUUUGUUAUGCUAAUCAUAGUUGUUAUAUUAUGAUGCGUACUACUUUUAUUUCCAUAGUGAAAGUGUUAUUGUGCAUGGACUAGGGGCAUACAGUUGGAUAUACUCCCUCCGUCCCUAUUUAGUUGUCCAUAUUUCCUUUUUUAGUUGUCCCUAUUUAGUUGUCUAUUUUGACAAAUCAAGAAAGGACAACAAAUUUUUUCCUAUUAUACCCUUAUUUACACUUCUUGAAAAUUUCUAAAAGUGUAUGUUGUUUCCCUCCAAUUUAUUUCACUUGAAUUCAAAGAGGUGGUUGUAAUUUUGAAGUGAAAAGUUGUCAUAAGGGUAAAAUUGUAACUUCACUGUGCUAAUCAUUGUUGCCUUAAUCUGUGUGCCAUUUCUAAAGUGGACAACUAAAAAGGGACGGAGGGAGUAAUUAACAAGAUGAUUGCCUUAGAGUAAUCAAGGGAAGAUAGUUGUCUUGGAUACCAUAUGACUGAUGCAUAGGUUUAUUUGCUUUGUUACCCGGUUAAUAUUCGUUCCUUUGGUUUGGGAAGUGAACUCAUGGAAUUUUAUAUUGCCAUCUACCACUCUGUUGCUGUUGUGUCAAAGGUUAACACUUUGGUCUAAGUUGCUUCAGUUUGUAUACCCUUGUCUGUUACACGAAUUUGCAUCUUUUUCUUUGUAGUAUUAAGGCUCUGAAUUUUCUGUCUUUGAAUUUUUUACUUUAGAUUUGUUUUGGAUGUCGGAAGACGCUUGAAAGAGAGGAAAUCUUAUCUUAUAUGGAAUGCAGUUGGUUGUCUCGGCCUAUCUGCUUUGAGUGAUCUUGUCAAAGAGGUAUGCCUUUUGUUCUACACGCUUGUUUUCUUGAAUGAUGAUUUUUGCUUGUCAAUUUCGUUGAUGGUUUUACUGAUAAACUUAAUUUUGCAUUUAGAAAAUAGUGCCUAGCAUAAUCCAAUGUGGGACUUUUCGGGGUGAUCCGGAUUUUAAUUUGAAGGCUGUGAUUAGUCCAAAGGGCGAGUCACAGACAGAUUUCUCGGUUAUCAAAAUAAAAUAAAAUAGUGCUAGCAUAUCUUCAACAAAUUGCCCCACCCCUCCCCAAAUAAAGUUAAUAAAUAAGUUCAUCUUUUUGUCACACAAACCCACAAAUUCGGAUUUUUGAGUUGGUAAGGUCUAACGGAUGACAAAUCAAGUUCACUUUGUAAAGCUACCCUUAUCUAAAAAAUAACAAAUCAAGUUCACUCUUUUGUUUGGAGUAAUACUUGGGUUUUUUUUCAAUGCAAAUGAUUUUUACUGUUUUAGAAGGCAUUGCAUUCUCGAUGGGAAGCGUGAAAUUUAAACCAAAUACCCUUAUUAGCCUCAAAAACACUUACCAUCACCUAGUUCAUAUUCGCUAAAGCUUAUGGGCCUCCUAUCUCCAUGUUGGUGCCAAUAACGGUGGUCUUUUCAUUAUUGUUUCUUGCUACCAGAGAUUGGGCAUUCUAGAAUUAUUUUACCCCUUGGUCUUGGCUAGAUUGAGAAUUAUCAGUGAUUGCUAAGAGGUAAAGGAUGGGCCUAGCUCUUAACACGAUUUAUUUAAGGUCUAAUGUUUUUUGUAGUUUCUGAUGCUCAAUGUUGUAAUACACUCACAGAUGCCUCCCGGUGAAGCCAUUUUCACUCCUUUCAGUCUCAUGGACCUUUCUUCCAAGAUAGCUUCUGGCGGAACUACUUUGUGGUGUCUAUUUGGAUUGAUUUCAAUGUUUUUGCCUGUCCUUGUUGUUUUACCUCAUGGUAUGCACAUAGCAAUAUAUGCUGAAAAUUUGCAUCUUUUUCCUCUUUCUUUUUUUGCCUUAUGCUUUUUUUCUUAUGGGAGUCAGAGGGUUGAUGGAAAAGUGGAGAAAGUAUUUUAGAAAGUAAGUGGGAACAACGGCUGAAGCAUUAGGUGUAAAUUUUUUCAUAUGUGGGAUCUUCUAAUUCCUAUUUGUCCCGUUAUGCCAAACAACUCUAUCAAUAAGAGCUCCUAGUUUAAGUAGUGAAAAUUGUUUGUGUAUUAAUUUGACAAAUAAUGGGCAUUUUGUGUUUUCCCCAAAUUAGCUAGAACCUCUUGCUUGCUGCCUCUCCUCUUCCCUCUUUUUUUCCCUUCUCCUCGAGGGAGAUCUUGCUUGCUGGAACCCAAUUUAUAUGAUUUUUGAGUUCUCCAAUUAUGAGUCAGUUGAUGAUGAUGUUGUAAACUUUACAGGUGGAUGCAAUUCAGACUUGUGGCGGCCAGAAGACUGCUGAUGGCAGGCGUUUCCGAACAGGUGGUGGAAUAUUGUGGAGCAUCCUUAAAGUACGAGAUCCAAAUGCAUACAAAGAGAUAAUGAAGAAAGGGAAGGAGUUUGAGGUGGGUCAUAAUUCUUUACGCUUUAUUUAGUACUUAUUUAUCCCUAGUGCAUGUGGCAGUUUUAUUGCCCAACCUGGAAACUAGGUAGUCAACAUCAUUGAUUACGGAUUUUCCAUUAUCAAGAUCAGUAAACAUGAAUAUUUUUGACAAUGCUGAAGGUUUUUGUUCUAUCUCAAACAAACGGAUAAAAAUAAAGUGGGUAACCUUAAAGAAAGGAAAGAACCUUUAGUAAAGGCCUUAUGGAGGUGCUUUUACAUAUAGUUUAUUAUGACUGCACUCUGCAGUAUUCAUUGCGAGACAAAUAGAAUGCAAUUACCGAUGCAUCUCUUCUCAUUGCUCCAUUGAAAUGCCCUCAAUUUCACGCUGCCUAUUUGGAUAUGUUAAAAUUUUGAAUUUUAAGUGAUUAUCUAUAUUGUGGAUCACUUCCUUGAAUAAAAUACAUAUUAUUGGGAAAAAUCCUCCUGCCCUUGGGUCAGCCAAUGGUCAUUUCCUGUUGCUGAGGACAAUACUUACCUCGCCCAUAAAAAAAUGUGAAUCUCUGUUUGCUGAUUGCUAUAUUUCUUAAGACAAAUGAUUUUUCCAGAUUAGUAUGCUGUGUUUUCUAAACAAUUGCAUUCAUAAUUUGAACUGCUGAUCUGCUAGUUACUUAUUGUCCUAUUGUGCGUCCCUAUAUUCCAGUGCUCAUUAAGAACAUAAUUUUGCAGAAGCAGUUUAAGCAGGCUAAUCUCAAGCAAGAACCGCUCCAAAACAAAGAAGCUUCUUUGGAGAGAUCUAGUCAGACAAUGGGAGACGAGAUUACAGCUAGUUCUUCAGAUGUUUUGCUGCAGCAAGAACCUGUUGAACAGUCAAAUAGUGGAGCCAAACGUGCAUCUGUUCAUGACAGAAUAAGGAUGCCUGUCACGUAUGAUGAUCUAUUUGAUGAAGCAACUGAUGAAGGAAAGGAUUCAAAGGAUCCUUUAGCUUUAAUAAUGCCUUCAGAAAAAAGCUCAUAUGAUGUGGUGGAGGGAGGUUAUACCAAGGGUAUAUAAAGUUUGCGCGAGUUACAAAUUACAAUCAGAUAAGACUAGGGGAUUUAAGAAAUGAAUCAACUUGAUUUUUUUGAUAAAGCCUCGUAUUACAGCUUGUCAAGUUGAAUUUCAUUUGUGAACACCGUGGGCAUUGUCUGCCCUUUCAUUUUGCUCAUCAUCUUAUUCUCAGUAAAUACAUAUAUGUUCGCAGCGGACAAAAGUUUUCCCAGAUCUGAUUAAAAUUUUACGAUCUUUUUCAGGAUAGAAGAGAAGCAAAUCAUAUUGCUUGCUAGCCUAUAGAUGGAUUGUGUUUUGUCUGUAAAUUCUUUUGAAUGAAACUAAGCCAAAUCAUGGCAAUAGUUAUGAAGUUUUACAUGGUGCCUAGAGCUCAAUUCUUUUGUGAUUUUACCAUCAGAUUUGUGAUUAACAACACAACAAAAUUAUUCAUGACAUAAUACACUUGACCGGUUAAAAAGAUGAAAAAAUUACAUAAAUAUACAACUUAAGAUGUCAUAAUCUCUGAAAUUCCUUACCAAAUAAAUGGUUUUCUUACUUAUAUGGAUUUAGGGAAGGAAAGGGGCAGGGGAAUUAAUGAGUAUAAAAAUAUGUGGAGAGAUGGAAAAUAAUACAAGUAAAUGACUACUAUGUUAUUUGGAAAAAAUAAUAACUCUUUCCUUUUUUUUUAAGUGGAUAUUUAUUUUUAGUAUAUAGAGGUUAAUAAAAUGUUUUUUUUUAAAAAAAUAUAAAGGCCCAUAAAAUUUAAGGAAGCAAAAUUGCUUCUGUUGGAUCCAAUUUCUUGGCUUUCCCCAAUCAUAGUUUGAUGGAUGAUUGUGUAGCUAUUUUUCCUGAGGAUAUAGUGAAGGAUAUUUUGCUGAGGUGUCUUGUCAAGUCGUUGUUACGAUUCAAAUAUGCCUGUAGACGCUCUUAUCAAAACCCCUAAAUUCAUUCAACUACACUUAGAAGAAGAAUCAUUGCCCCCUACAACUCCUAAUUUAUGAUAAUGGUGACAUUGAUGAUGAUUCCUGUCCCAUGACUUUGAUUUCUAAAGAAAAAUCCCAAACGUUCCUAGGUAUGAAAUACCUCAUAGGUUAUGUGGACGGCUUGUUCUUAAUGUACAGAGAAAUUAAUAGAGCCAUUUCGUGUGCGUUGUGGAAUCCUGCUACUAGGGAGGUGAGACCCCUCCAUCUCCCUGCACCCAUAAUCAAUGAUUCCCCUAACUUCGGUUUGGGAAUAGACCCCUUGACUAAUGACUAUAAAGUGGUUUAGUUUCUUGACUAUGCAACAACAGUCUAUUCCUGUCGUAGGGACUCAUGGAGAAUUUCAAAAAAUUGAAGGUUUCGACAAACCACCCCCAUUUGACAAAGAGGUGAGACACACAUAUGGUACUGCUUAUUUGAAUGUAGUUUAUUACUGGCCGCUAAGUUAGCAACCAAUAAUAAGCUCCAUUUAAAUAAGCAGUACCAAAUGUAUGGUUCACGUCUGUAAAGAAGGGGAUUUCAGGUUUGAAAAUUCCCCAUGACUCCCUAGAACAUGAAUAAACCGAUGCAUAAUAUUCACACAAAUAAUUAAUAUGAAAGUAAACCACUCUAUAAUCAUUAGUUGAGAGGUCCAAUCCAAACCCAAACACAGGGGCAUCAUGGAUUGUGGCUACAUGGAUAGGGAGAUGGAGGGGUUUCACCUCCGUAGUUGCAAGGAUUCGAUAAUGCACAUGAAACAUCAUAAUCAAUUGCUCCAACCAUAAAAAACAAGCCGUCCACAGAACCUAAGAGAUGUUUCAUACCUAUGAACGUUUGUGAUUUUUCUUCAGAAAUCAAAGUUAUGGAACGGAAAUCAUCAUGACUUCCGGCUUAUUAUUGAAAUUCAUUUUUCACCGAAAAAUCUGUAAGCUGAUUUUCCUAACACAAUUUUUUUCAUAUUUAUAGCUAGCUAGUCCUUUCUCUUAAUAAAAAAAUAUUUUAUCUGGAUAUGAGAGAAACAAGAGAAAUUAAUCCGAUUUCCAACACAAACAUUGAUAUAUAUAUAUAUAUAUAUAUAUUACUAAUAUUUCAUUUUUAUUUAAAACAUAUAACUUNNNNNNNNNNNNNNNNNNNNNNNNNNNNNNNNNNNNNNNNNNNNNNNNNNNNNNNNNNNNNNNNNNNNNNNNNNNNNNNNNNNNNNNNNNNNNNNNNNNNAACCUAGAAUACACACAACAAAGUGAUAACAUAUUAACUAAGGAGAGAUUAAGUAAUUAGAAGAGGAUGAGAUACAAGACCAUAGAAGGGGAUGAGAGAUACCAGAUAGCCAACAUAAUAAUUUUCAUAAUUGUUCUUCUAACUCCAUGUCCUUUUCAACAAAUGGUAAUUCAAUCUCGAUCCCAAAUAAAACUCUCAAAAAAUUUACUCUCGAUCCAAUAUUUAUAACGGAGUUAGCUUGAUUCACAACAUACUGUAUUUUCAAAACAAGGAGAGGAUUGUAUACAAUAUCAAGGUCUCCACAUUCGGCAACCAUUGCUGAAAGGGGUAUGAGGGACAGGAUGGGAAUAUAGCCCAAAAAGAGGUGGAAGCUGUUCGUUCAUACACACACCGACUGGAUAGAUAAUACUUGAAAAGGGACUGACUGUGAGUCACCUUUUUAAAGCAAUAUUCUUUUUUUCAGAUAGAAGAAUGACCAUAAGUAGACCUGAACUGAACAAGUACAUCUGCCUUUUCGUCUUGAUUCAUAAUCAAGAAAGACAGGAUCAUCCAUAUAUUUUAUGAGGGGAAAACUGAAACAAAGGAGCAAAUAAAGGAGAAAACAUCAUGUAACCUGCUCUUAAGCCUUGAGAAGAGAUGAUCUGCAUGUAGAAGGUCGUAUGAUCUUGGAUAAGUACCAAAAGCCUCACAUAGACUAAUCGUGGUACACGCCAAUAAGUCCUCGUUCAAAGACUACGGGAAGGGUGUUUGGUGCAUGUACAGGAAUAACAUUCAUCACCCACACCUUCUUCUGUGCAAGAGCUGCUGCAAAUCUGUGUAUAUUAUUCUCAGUUGUUAGCAUCCUUGCUGAGGUACAAUAUUACAAUUAAAAGAAGAGGGAGACCCAAUAACAAUUUAAUAUUUGAGGCUCUUUCAUCAGAUUAACCAAAGCUAGGUGCUUACCCUCCAUUGAUGGCUUUGAUAUCCAUUACAUUCCGGAUGUUGGACCAAUCAAUACCCAAGCCAACUAGAUAAGAAUUGUCAACAAUAGCUUUCCAGUGCUCACUGUCUGCGAUCAAUUGCUCUCUAUUGUUCAUCCAGUCGGGAUAAGAUUCAAGUCUCUUUGGCCAUUCCUCAGGCCAUUCGGUUCCUCGUUGUUCUAUGCAUUCAAGAAUUGUGUGCAAGCAAGAUUUAAUUGGCACGUACCUGUUGCAGAUAAGGUAAUUGGAAUUUAACAUUUGAGAGGAUAAGGAAAGAAGCAUGACAGUUUUAGAACUAAUGUGUUUUUGACUCUUAAGGUUUAUCAUAAAUCAUGCUUGUUCUACCACUCCUGAGAGAGUUGUAGCUAAUUUGUGUAAUGACAUACAAUGGUGGAGUUGUGCAUUUAUAUUCCAAAGAUUACUCGUCCAUAUGCAGUAGCGGAAGUAUGUGCAAAGGAAUUGCAAAUUGAUCGAAAAGAGCAAAGAGAGACAAGUAUAACAACACAGGCUUUUCCCACUCACCAAGAUGCAUCUGGGUUCUCAUUUGCUUUGCAUAGAGGUGGAACUUUUUUCCGUCUCAAUUUGUAUAUGUCAUUUGCUUGUGGUACUUUUUGAUAUCAUCAGUUUUAUCAGCGAGGAUGUUCCAACAGAUUGAUGCUAUCAUCGUGGAUAUAGCUGGAGAAGAAGGUUGAUGUUAUGAGCAUGAGUACUUUACAAAAAGGCAUUCAUAAAUACAUGCUGAAAAGAAAAGUAAAGCACGCAAAAUUGAAUAUCUUAAAAAGGAUGAAAUCAAAAUGAUAGCUCGUCUUUCAAGUUUCACAAAGGAAAAAGACUUGAUAACAAUGCAAGACAAUUUCAAGCUACAAGCCAGAAAAUGAAGAGGACAAACAGAAGCCAUUUUCCUUAACGUAAAUAGAGGACAAACCUUCUUCAACUUCAAUGCUAUUGUGCUUUGAAGACAAAAUAAAAUAACCUCCAGGCCUCAAAAUUCUGUUCAUCUUUAUAAGAUGCUUCCCCCCUGAAAGUAAACCUCCUGAUAUUACGGAAAAAGAAACAGAAACAAGAAAAAGAAAUAUCUAGCAAUAACUUAACACUAACCGUUAGAAUGCCAAGAUACAUAUAUAGCAAUCAUUACAGUGAAUAGCAUCAAAGACGCCACUAGGAAAGGGAAGCCUCCGAGUUCGGAAUGGGGUAACUACUGUUGGAAAACCACGCUCAAGUGCAACUUGUGCUAGAUCCACAAGGUCAUCUUUUAAGCCUAGAGUAAGUGUUAACACGUCCUUUUCAAGCAGAGAAACCCCAAAGCUUGAAUCUUUACAUCCAAUAUCCAGCACAACAUGUAUAUAUAUUCAAUGUCUGGUACCAUCUACCAAUCUCCAAUAUCAAUUCACACAUCAAACACAAGGAGAGACUUUGCAAGUAGCAUUCAACUGACAACUAAAUAAGUAAGUAAUGAUACUACUGUUAGCAGUAUCAUCUCAAACCAGCCAGGCAUACACCUAGUGUUUGAAUCUAGUGAUAAUUAACAAAGAGUUAACCAAUUCCAAAUCAACUACAACCAGAAAUUGCACAAGCAUUACUGUGUGGUGAAGACAAGUCAUCUUUUAUCUUCUCUACUAAAAGAAAAGAUCAUAAUACAAGAGUAAAGCAGCUCAAGAUCAUGCUUAUUGUGCCAGAAGAAUGCAAAAAAAAUUUAAAAAAAUAGACAUCUGUUUUUACUCUACUGAUCAGCUUUGGCAAAGUUUUUCAAGCAUGACUGGACUGAAUUUGCUCACGCAUAUGAAGAUUCAUAGACAAUGUGGGUGCAUUUAUAUGAUUUUUUUGUAUAAGAUAAUCAUUAGACCUUUGAGCAGUGCAAUUGCUAAGAGAAACAAACAAAGAAUCAUUAAAAGGGACUCACCUCUUCUAUUUAAUCUAGGUAGUGUUGAAUUCCACCUUUGGGUAUAGAUUGGUUCGUCGGAAAAAUGAGAUAUUCUCCAGACUCCACCACCCAGCUCCCUCUCUUAACAAAUGCCUCUAGUUUCGGGUGUGCCACAUUUUUAUAAAGUAUCUGUAAAUAUUAAGAACUUAAUAUAAGAAAGAACAGAUAAAACUGUAUUUACUGAAGAUGAGCUUGAUUCUCAUAUCUUUGACUUACUAUCAGGCCAUCUUACUGGAGUCUCAUAACCACCAGGAGGAAGGGGAACAAGACACAUUUGAGGUGCUUUAGGACAACUUCUUUCAUGAUGCCGAUAAUUCUGCAACUUUCCACUGGCACUUUCAAAGUCAAUGCAAGGAAUUGCUUCUUGUACUACAUAAAUUCCAAGUAUAAUGUGCUUUUGGAUUAAGUAAGCCAUCAAUCAGCUAGAUAAGGAUCUGCAUUCAACUUUUGGGUUUUAAUAUUCCAAACAAACAGUAAAGGACUGAGGCAUGAUGACUGAUCAAUUUGAGAAACUUUAAGGCAUCAUUCAAGUUCAUUUUUAAUUCAUUUGAAAUACAUAAUUGGGCUUAGAAGGAAUAUGAGAUAGCCUAGUCUACAUCUAUAACUUAUGAUCAGAGACAAUGAAAAUUUUAUACAUCUAGACAUGAACUAUAUAUAAUUAGCCCAAAGUCUUUACGGAGUCACCUUUGUUCAUGACAUACUGAGCAUUCAGAAUAAGUAGAGGAUAAUAGCAUUAACUGUAUGAGAAAAUGUGAUAGAUAUUGCAAUUACAAACACUUUAUGCAAACUCUGAAAUUGAGUGAACAUAUAUAUUACAUAAUUAAAACAAUACUUAUAAGCUCAUCCGCUUUGGCACUUCAGUUAAUGGUCCAACUCUCCAUCCUCUUGUUGUUUAAUUGUUAUUAAGCUCUCCUUAUAAUAAAAAACCCCACAACCACUAUAACCAAAUGCUGCAUCAUCUUUCAAGCACGAAUGUUGAAAUCCAAGAUAUCUUGUCUUGUUAGUCCGAAUAUUAUAGGAGAACAGUCGAGAAGCUCUAGUUACCAAAAUGAGAGAGCUAUCAUAGCAAGAGAUAAAAUGUGGGAAGCAUUGAAAGGUAAUAAGUUUGUUCCAGACCCCUGGUUGGAUCAUUACCCAUAUAUCAUAAUAAAAUUUUUCAACCAUUUUCUUGUUCAAGAUGGCAAUGGAAUCAUCAAGCAACAUCAUACCAAAUGCAUAAACAUAAGGAGAUUUAGGAUCUGGAUCUGGCCCUUCAAUCUCUUCAAACAUUUCUCUCCCAAAGUUGAAUAAAAGAAUGGUGCUGAUAUUGUUAUUAAUUAGCAGCCAGUAAUAAUUUCCAUUCAAAUAAGCAGUACCAUAUGUGCGUCUCACCUCUUUGUCAAAUGGGGGUGGUUUGUCGAAAUCUUCAAUUUUGAAAACUCUCCAUGAGUCCCUACGACACGAAUAGACUGCUGCUUUAUAGUGAAGAAAGUAAACAACUUUAUAAUCAUUAGUCAAGGGGUCUAUUCCCAAACCGAAGUUAGGGGAAUAAUCGAUUAUGGGUGAAGGGAGAUGAAGGGAUCUCACCUCCCUAGUAGCAGGAUUCCACAAUGCAGCACUAUUAAUUUGUCCGUACAUUAAGAACAAGCCGUCCACAUAACCUAUGAGGUCUUGCAUACCUAGGAACGUUUGGGAAUUUUCUUCAGAAAUCAAAGUCAUGGGACAGGAAUCAUCAUCAAUGUCACCAAUAUCAUAAAUCAGGAGUUGUAAGGGGCUACGAUUCUUCUUCAAGUGUUGUUGAAUGAAUUUAGGGGUUUUGAUAAGAGCGUACCAGUUUUUGCAUGCACAUUUGAAUCGCAAUAACAAUUUGACAGGACACCUCAACAAAAUCUCAUUCACUGUAUCCUCAGGAAAAUUAGCUACAUAAUCAUCCAUCAAACUAUGAUUAGGGAAAGCCAAGAAAUUGAAAACAACAGAAGCAAUUUUGCUUCCUUAAAUAGACAAGGAAGAAAGUUCCUCAUUCAAAUCUGUUACAAUAAUUAAUUUUACUAUCUUUAAUUUUUUUUUUUCUAAAUUUAUCUUUAAAGAAAAAGGAAAAUCCAUAAAUAGGCAUCCUACAUUUCAUUUUUAUGGACCUUUAUAUUUUAAAAAAUAAAUCAUUUUAUUGACCUCUGUAUUGUAUACUAAAAAUAAAUGUCUACUUUUUAAAAAACAAAAACAAAGAGUUACUAUUAUUUUUUCCAAACAUGAUAGUAGUCAUUUACUUACAUUAUUUUCCAGUCCAAUCUAAGAUUAAAAUUUUGAAGGAUAUCCCAUUCUAAUCUUGGCAAGUGUUUUAAUUAUUAUAGUAUACAAUAUUAGUCUCUUCAUAUAUAUUUUGAUACUCAUUAAUUUCCCUACCCUCUUUUCUUCCCUAAAUCCGUAUAAGUAAGAAAAAUGUUUUCUACUCAUAAAUUUUAGGAAAUUGAAUUUAACAAUAAGUCUAAAAAUUGAAUUUAACAAGUAAUUAGUUGGAUUAUUUUGUGGGUUUAUGUUAAGGUAGUUUAUUUGGUGAUGAAAUUGCAGGGAUAUAAAAUAAUUGGUUCGCAUAGCGGUGUGAAACUUUGUAGAUGGACAACUUAGAGGUUGCUUAUAGCACUCAUUUGAGAGUCACAUGUGAUUGUUUUUCUUUUCCAGUACAUAUGAUUGUUUAUAAUGUUUGCAAAUUUUACUGGGUAUCCUUGAACUUAUUUCGAAAAGUCAGCUACAUGCUUAACUAUCAUAGCGACUUAUUACACAUCUAUACUAUUAAAUGGUGAAUUUAUUUACUACCUGCUAUGUAUAGUACCACUCUCACAAUCGAAAGUGUAUCUCACUUGCGCCACAUUAAUGUCAUCUCAUUGCCACAUCGAUCAGAUGUCAUGUCAGAUUUCAAAUAAAGUUAUUCAUGUCAUUCAAUUGUUUCUUCUUCCAUGAACACCACCAUGGAACCACUAACAUUGCCAUCAUAUUAAUACUAAAUCUAUAUAUUUCUUCAUAAAAAUCUUCUCUUUUUUCUAAUGCAACAAAACAAUAUGAAAUAACUCAGGAAGAAUUCUUUGAAACAAAACGUUCGCCAUCAUAGAACAAAAAAAUAACUUCCCAGAAAAUCUAAAACAAAGCAAAAAUGGAAAAGAAAAUAAAAACAAAACAAACAGAGUUUUCUCUUCAAGCAAACAAAUCUAUUCUCAAGGGUGAAAUUACAACUUUCAAAAUUGUUACUACUUAAAAAUUCUUAAGCUACAACCUUCUUUUUAAGCUUUGCAAGCUCCUGUCUCACCACACCAACCACAAAUUUCACCAUCUACUAAUAAAUUCACCAUCAAAAUCACGCUAUCACUUUCGUUUCCACAAAAAUCAUAAAGAUCCACCACAAAAUUCAAUAUUUACCUACAGAUCUGUCAUUAUAUUUUAUUUUUUUUAAAUCAAUCAUCAAUUUUCUCAACCACCAACAAAAUCGAAGAGUAAAAUCGGAUAUAAUAAAAAUGAUAAAAUCAAAUAAUCAUUAAAAUAGAAUAUAAUUGGAGAUGUGAAGAAGAUGAGUAGGGGAGUGUGGGGUGUGGGUAGAAAGAAGAUUUUGAUUACUCCCUCUGUCCCAAUUUAUGUGGCACUUUUUAUUUUUUGAGAGUCAAACAGUUUAAGUUUGAUAAAAAAUUUGCGCGUGGAAUCUUCAAAUUUUUUUAAAUGAAAUUUAUAUAUAUGUAAAAUACAUAAAACGUACUAUAAGUCACAAUAAUUAACAAUUCAAAAUAAUUAAAAGAUAUAUUAAAAAUUUACGGCCAAAGAUAAACUUAUUUGAAUCUCGAAAUCUGAAAAGUGCCACAUAAAUUGGGACGGAGGGAGUGUUAUUUUUACUUUAUUUUUUAUUUAACGCGUUUUUCUUUUUUUUGCCAUGUUAGUUACUCAAUUAUAGGGGUAAAAAAAAAUUCAUUUUUGAAUAAUAAAGAUGUGUAAUAUGUCAGUAUAAUAGUUUAAGUGUGUAACUGAAUUUUUGAAACAAGUUCAGGGAUGAUUUUAUGCAUUUUCUCAAUUUUACUACUGCAUUCUGUCCAUGACUCGUAUAGUGAUCCUGUUGACAUGAUUGUAUUUGAACUUUCAACAAUAUCUUUAUUUGUGUUCAAGUUGCAACUUUGUUUGUACUAUAAUGAGAUCCAGUUGCUGAAAGUUUUUUAGAGUGCUAGAAUUAUUUGGGUUGAUGAAGUAUAUAUGUAGAGAAUAAGAAAAUAAGGUUUGCAUGUGCAUGCAGGGGCGGAUUUAGGAAGGGGGAGGGGUGUCACGUGACACUACUGAACAAGUAUAUACAAUUACGAAACAGAAGCAAAUAAAGCAUAUAUUAUCUAUAUAUGUUAUAGGCGACACUCCUUUUAAUAACAAGAGAUGCGUGUAGCUUAGCUGGUUUUGGCUGAAAUUUCAUAGAUCAAGUUGCGUGUUUAAGAAAGAAUCUUGAAUGAAAUUAUUUUGAAUACAUUUCACACAAAAAAAAAAAAAAAAAAAAG
Molecule: long non-coding RNA, 36287 nt
Filed under: Solanum tuberosum (potato)
Lineage: Eukaryota; Viridiplantae; Streptophyta; Magnoliopsida; Solanales; Solanaceae
Description: long non-coding RNA (STUB_LNC005252)
Source: RNAcentral